UACUCCGCCGGCGACCGGCGCACGGGUGCGUAACGCGUAUGCAACCUACCUUUAACAGGGGCAUAACACUGAGAAAUUGGUACUAAUUCCCCAUAACAUUCGAGAAGGCAUCUUCUUGGGUUAAAAACUCCGGUGGUUAAAGAUGGGCAUGCGUUGUAUUAGCUAGUUGGUGAGGUAACGGCUCACCAGGGCAACGAUACAUAGGGGGACUGAGAGGUUAACCCCCCACAUUGGUACUGAGACACGGACCAA
This 252-nucleotide ribosomal RNA is filed under the name uncultured bacterium. Its description in RNAcentral is "partial 16S ribosomal RNA". It matches the Rfam family "Bacterial small subunit ribosomal RNA", at positions 81 to 334 of the family's 1533-position model. The record is from RNAcentral.